Molecule: ribosomal RNA, 466 nt
Filed under: uncultured bacterium
Lineage: Bacteria
Description: partial 16S ribosomal RNA
Rfam family: Bacterial small subunit ribosomal RNA
Source: RNAcentral
GACGAACGCUGGCGGCGUGCUUAACACAUGCAAGUCGUGCGGUAAGGCCCUUUCGGGGGUACACGAGCGGCGAACGGGUGAGUAACACGUGAGCAACCUGCCCUUCACUUUGGGAUAACUGCCGGAAACGGUGGCUAAUACCGGAUAUGACUUCCUCACGCAUGUGGGGUGGUGGAAAGCCUUCGGGUGGUGGGGGAUGGGCUCGCGGUCUAUCGGCUUGUUGGGGGGGUGGUGGCCUACCAAGGCUUCGACGGGUAGCCGGCCUGAGGGGGUGACCGGCCACACUGGGACUGAGACACGGCCCAGACUCCUACGGGAGGCAGCAGUGGGGAAUAUUGGACAAUGGGCGAAAGCCUGAUCCAGCAACGCCGCGUGAGGGAUGACGGCCUUCGGGUUGUAAACCUCUUUCGCCUGCGACGAAGCGAGAGUGACGGUAGCAGGUAAAGAAGCACCGGCCAACUACGUG